Molecule: long non-coding RNA, 258 nt
Filed under: Salvia miltiorrhiza (redroot sage)
Lineage: Eukaryota; Viridiplantae; Streptophyta; Magnoliopsida; Lamiales; Lamiaceae
Description: long non-coding RNA (SMIL_LNC014159)
Source: RNAcentral
CUGUACCGCGUCGCCGCGCCCCCACCGAAGAUCUGCGCCAGCACCGCGUCGCCGCGCCGCUUGUCGCGCCUGCAUCUGCACCGCGCCGUGUCGCCGCCUGCAUCAAAUUGGGUUUGAUUUUUGUUUUCCAAUUUCGAUUUUAUGUUAAUGUUUGUAUCCAAAAAUUGUGUGAACUUUGCCGUUCCAUUUUUCUACUGUUGCUUUUGCUGAAGGAAGCUGCAGAUUUUAGUUUAAUGGUGAUCCAUGGAAGUUUUGUGA